GACGUCAGCGCCGCCGCGGUGAUUUAACAGCUUUUGUUUUGGGCAGAAGAACCUAUGGGCACAAAAAGCAGGAACGAGUAGCGGUGGCUGAAGAACGAGCAGGAGCUUGAAUUUCAGUUUUCUUAUGAGGAAUUUUCCAGAAAAGAUAUCUUCACUGUGAAAUAACUAAAUAAAUGCCCACUCAGUACAGUCACUGUCUCCCUUUUGGAACUUGAUGGCACCUUAAGCCCAGGUUUGCCUCCACUCUAGAAACUCAUCAGAGUGAUGCCCUUCUCAAAUGGGGGAGGUCCCAAAGCGGAUAUCCUGGCAGUGUGAAAGGCCGGCUAAAGGUUUGUGCCAAGAGGAUCUGUGGAAUGCAUCUCCUACAGCUGGUGCUGCUGAGUAACCACUCUGAUCUGGCAUCUUCUUUGAUCAAGUUACAGAGCAGAGUUUCCAGGGCUGGGGAUUGAAGUCCUGCCUCCUCCCUUUGUCUCUGGUUGUCCUCGGUAAUGUUUUUCCCUCAAGCUUUCCCUGCACUCCAAACACAGAGCUGAGACUUCCACCUAAUGUAGAAAGCUAGCACGAGCCGGCGCUGACAGAUGGAAGACUUGAGAUGUUACAAGAUUAUAUAUGGAAACACAAAAGGGUCUCACUCUGUCACCCAGGCUGGAGUGCAGUGCUGUGAUCCUAGCUCACUGCAGCUUUGAUCUUCUGGGCCCAAGCAAUCCUCCCACCUCAGCCUCCUGAGUAGCUGGGACUCAAAGUGUGCCACCACACCUGAUUUUCUUUUUGGUAGAGAUGGGGACUCACUAUGUUGCCCAGGCUGGUCUCAAACUUUUGGCCUCAAGGGAUCCUCCCACCUUGGCCUCCGAAAGAGUUGGGAUUAUAGGCAUGAGCCAACAUGCAUGGUCAAAUGCUUUUUAAACUAGUAAUUCACCUGUGUAUGGUUAUGUCAAAGAAAAAUACAAGGUUGCAUACGCUUAGAGAAAGUAAGGAAGUAACCCAUUACAUGUAUGUUUGUAAAUUUUACUUAGGCCAUCAUUUUUUAUUUUCACCUUUGAAUUUCAAAGUAAAUUAGAGAUAUGUAAAUAACAGAAUUAUCAACAUUAAAAUCUUAUUCACAAUGGCUAACAAGAACAGGAUGACAGUCAAGUCAGUAGCUUUUUAAUAAAAUGAGCAGAAUCCCAUCGUAACAGUUCUUUGUUACAUGAAUUCAAAUACACAGCAGACCAAUCAUGUUCCCUGAAAUUUAACAAUCAAUCAUACUUAAUAAAGGCCUGUUAGUGCUGUCCCUCAAGACUCUAAUUCUAAAGGGCUUCCUUUGAAUUCCCUUUAUAAAGCUUUGUGCAAAGAAGAGCUUAAGCACCAGUAAGAAAGACUGUCGCUAGCAUUUUUAUUUCAUCAUCAACAACAAACAUGCAGUUUCUUUCUCUGAUGUGCAUGGCACUGUAAAAUGGGUGCUACACUCUCUCUUGUGGUACAAAGUUUAUAAAUACAGUAUACUGAUACAAAGUUGAAGCCAUUAAAAAGAGCUUAAUAACAACUAUGAGGAGAUAAUUAAAUCUGGAGUGUUGAUGGAAUCUAUGAAGAGAUUUAGAAACAAGACAUAAACACUACGGUAAAAGUUUUACUUGGGAAGGGGCCAGAGGGGAACUUUUUAUGUGCUACUGAAAGAUUUUUUAAGUUGCUCCAGAUUUACUUUCUUUCUGCUAUUAUCUUUAAAUACUGCAAAGCAUUGUGAGCUGCAUCACUUUGUGCAUUGCCACAGGAGAUACCGGAGCCAUGACAGACUGUGAUGGGGCUGGUGGACAGUUCAGCAAGACAUUGAUAUUGUCCAUUGGCGCUCAGUUCAUCUGUAAUGACACAUUCAAGGAUGACGAUUAAUGUCCAAUAUGUAUAAAGUGGAUCCCUUUGUAAAAACAA
Molecule: long non-coding RNA, 1902 nt
Filed under: Homo sapiens (human)
Lineage: Eukaryota; Metazoa; Chordata; Mammalia; Primates; Hominidae
Description: cholesterol induced regulator of metabolism RNA
Source: RNAcentral